Molecule: ribosomal RNA, 406 nt
Filed under: uncultured bacterium
Lineage: Bacteria
Description: partial 16S ribosomal RNA
Rfam family: Bacterial small subunit ribosomal RNA
Source: RNAcentral
AUUGAACGCUGGCGGCAGGCCUAACACAUGCAAGUCGAACGAGUGGCGGACGGGUGAGUAAUGUAUGGGAAAGUGCCCGAUGGCGGGGGAUAACUACUGGAAACGGUCGCUAAUACCGCAUACCAUCAGAGGUGCCCAGAUGGGAUUAGCUUGUUGGUGGGGUAAAGGCUCACCAAGGCGACGAUCCCUAGCUGGUCUGAGAGGAUGACCAGCCACCCUGGAAAUGAGACACGGUCCAGAAUCCUACGGUAGGCAGCAGUGGGGAAUAUUGCACAAUGGGCGCAAGCCUGAUGCAGCCAUGCCGCGUGUAUGAAGAAGGCCUUCGGGUUGUAAAGUACUUUCAGCGGGGAAGCGUUACCCGCAGAAGAAGCACCGGCUAACUCCGUGCCAGCAGCCGCGGUAAUAC